UCAACUCGCCACCGGGUUUCUCAAGACCAGAACGGGUUCACGCCAACGGAGAGCACAGAUACACCAGCGUCCAGCCUCUUGCCACGGAGGGUACAUGCUACUCUCGCCAUCUCUCCACUCCCAUUGCGUGGUGGCCUUUAUGGUAUUGGUCCGACCGAGGCAAAGCUUGCCCAUGACGAGGCAUGUGGCCAGUUAAAGGGUCAUCGGUCAGCAGGCCCACAUCGGCUCGGUCUUUAAGCGACUCAAACGGAGACACUACACCGAGACUUCCUUCUCGUGCAAGUCACCUGCCCGGUCUCAUCUUUAUCAUUUACAACCAAAAGUUUGGUACCAGACAUAGGUACAUAUUUUUAGAUGUUGAACCCAUCAUGACCAAGAUGGAUUCACCAUCAAGUCUUUUCUUUGAAAACUUCCCAUCCCAUAUGAAGCAUCAUCUUUUGUUUAAAACAAAACAUUUUGUUUUCUAAAGCAAAGCUAAGCAUCAGAAAACUUUAAGUAAAACAGGUAUCAAGGAAUGGUAAUCAGUUCCAAGGAAAUGCAGCAAUUGUUUAGCACACAACUCCUAUCACCUAAUGCAUCAUCUCAAGUGAUAAAGAGUUUAAAACAACAAGGAAAGGGGUAAAUGCAUCGGGGCUUAUCUUGUGUUGCAGGAGGUUCUGGAUCUGUCCCACAAAUGUCAAAAUAGAAGUUGUUCUCAACCGAAUGAUUCUCAGCUUGCGGGACAACUUCUUCUUCGACUAUAGCUUCUUCUUCGUUUUCUAUACAUAACAAUACAUAUACAUGAAUUCUUAUAUGAUGCUAUGAAUAUGUAGGUAUGUAAUAGAAACAUACUAGGUUGUAUCUUGAAUACAACUUUCCUUCACGGUACAUACUAGUCACUAAGGUUUACUGAGUUAGUAUUCUAUCAGUACUAGUCAAUUAAACCCUAGGAAGCUAGUGUAUUGGGUUUGGGACCAAACAAUAUCCAAAGCAUGUCAAACUCUACCCAAGGACUUUAAUCAUCAAACUUAGCUUACCCAAAAAGUUUUAUUAUUUUUGGAGUUACCAAAUUAUAUCUAAAAUUCUAAAAGGCUAUGUUUAGGCAUCUUUAAAUUCCAAAUAAUUCCAGGUUUGGACUAAAAAUCUUGGAACUAUUUUUAUUCAAUACUAGAUGAAUUUAGGAGUCUAGCAAAAUUGGUCCCAUAAUUUUACCGUUUCGCUAGAAUUUCCUACAAUUUUCGAAGUCUGGCAGAAAAAGGAAAAAGGAAAACGAUGAAUAGUACCGGGAUGAAACUAGCCCGAUCCGGCCCACAACCAGGCAAAAUGCGCCCACGUGCGCCCGUGUUGGCCAUUUUGCACAGAAGUCCUCAGCUAUUCGAAAAACCCGUAAAGAAUACUUAUUCACUAUUCACUUGUGUCUCUGACAUGUGCACUUAGGCCCCUCACUUCUUACUCCUUCGCAAUACCGGGUACCUGACCACGAACGGCGGAGCGGCUGCUCCGACGAGCUUGUACCGGCCGCAGUACCCAAUAAGCCACGCUCAAUUUCAGUCUACGCCUAAUUCUACCCUUGGCGCUCCACUAGGAAUCACUAAUUUGGUCUGAACGCCAUUCUAGAGCUCGGUCCACGUACACCCACGGAGUUUGAGACAUUCCCGACGCGUUCCUAACGACACAGUGCAGUAACAUACGAAUUGGGAGCACGGUAAGCUUUAUCAACUUACCAGGACUCAAGAAUGGUAGCUAGGAAGGCUGGUGGAGGGACAGAGCGGUGGGUCGACAGAGGAGGUGUUCACGGCAGUGCGGAGAACUGAUUUGGGGAAAUCCGAAUUAGGGCGCUACGGUGAACGAUCAGGAGCGAGGAGUGGUUCACUAGUUCGUAACAAGUAGGCAGAACAGGGGGUGCCUCCAAUUUAUAGAAUCCGGCCGAGCUUAGCACGAAUUUUAGAUU
This 1930-nucleotide long non-coding RNA is filed under the name Zea mays. Its description in RNAcentral is "long non-coding RNA (ZMAY_LNC002535)". Lineage: Eukaryota; Viridiplantae; Streptophyta; Magnoliopsida; Poales; Poaceae. The record is from RNAcentral.